Molecule: non-coding RNA, 98 nt
Filed under: Bacillus methanolicus MGA3
Lineage: Bacteria; Bacillati; Bacillota; Bacilli; Caryophanales; Bacillaceae
Source: RNAcentral
AAAAGGGUCAGACCCCUCCAAUACAACAUAUAGAAAAAGAAUAAAAAUUUCUAUAUAUUGUUAUUUUUGGAGGAGUCAGACCCUUAUUGAAUCAGCCC